AACGCUGGCGGCGUGCCUAAUACAUGCAAGUCGAGCGAACGGACGAGAAGCUUGCUUCUCUGAUGUUAGCGGCGGACGGGUGAGUAACACGUGGAUAACCUACCUAUAAGACUGGGAUAACUUCGGGAAACCGGAGCUAAUACCGGAUAAUAUUUUGAACCGCAUGGUUCAAAAGUGAAAGACGGUCUUGCUGUCACUUAUAGAUGGAUCCGCGCUGCAUUAGCUAGUUGGUAAGGUAACGGCUUACCAAGGCAAC
RNAcentral lists this ribosomal RNA (256 nucleotides) under Staphylococcus aureus subsp. aureus IS-3. Its description in RNAcentral is "partial 16S ribosomal RNA". It matches the Rfam family "Bacterial small subunit ribosomal RNA", at positions 32 to 277 of the family's 1533-position model. The record is from RNAcentral. Lineage: Bacteria; Bacillati; Bacillota; Bacilli; Caryophanales; Staphylococcaceae.